This 273-nucleotide ribosomal RNA is filed under the name uncultured bacterium. RNAcentral's name for it is "partial 16S ribosomal RNA". It matches the Rfam family "Bacterial small subunit ribosomal RNA", at positions 524 to 796 of the family's 1533-position model. The record is from RNAcentral.
UACGAAGGGGGCUAGCGUUGUUCGGAUUUACUGGGCGUAAAGCGCACGUAGGCGGUUUGUUAAGUCAGGGGUGAAAUCCCGGAGCUCAACUCCGGAACUGCCUUUGAUACUGGCAAGCUAGAGUCCGGAAGAGGUAAGUGGAACUCCUAGUGUAGAGGUGGAAUUCGUAGAUAUUAGGAAGAACACCAGUGGCGAAGGCGGCUUACUGGUCCGGAACUGACGCUGAGGUGCGAAAGCGUGGGGAGCAAACAGGAUUAGAAACCCCCGUAGUCC